Non-coding RNA from Caenorhabditis elegans, 21 nucleotides. NCBI's taxonomy places the organism in Eukaryota, Metazoa, Nematoda, Chromadorea, Rhabditida, Rhabditidae. The record is from Ensembl.
UAAGUUCAUCAUCGGAAAACG